RNAcentral lists this ribosomal RNA (201 nucleotides) under uncultured bacterium. RNAcentral's name for it is "partial 16S ribosomal RNA". It matches the Rfam family "Bacterial small subunit ribosomal RNA", at positions 524 to 724 of the family's 1533-position model. The record is from RNAcentral.
UACGUAGGGGGCAAGCGUUGUCCGGAAUCAUUGGGCGUAAAGCGCGUGUAGGCGGCUUGGUAAGUCUGCUCUGAAAGCCCGGGGCUCAACCCCGGGAGGCGGGUGGAUACUGUCAAGCUCGAGUCCGGAAGAGGAGUGUGGAAUUCCUGGUGUAGCGGUGAAAUGCGCAGAUAUCAGGAGGAACACCAAUGGCGAAGGCAG